UACGUAGGGUGCGAGCGUUAAUCGGAAUUACUGGGCGUAAAGUGUGCGCAGGCGGCCGCGCAAGUCGAGUGUGAAAGCCCCGGGCUUAACUUGGGAAUUGCGCUCGAAACUACGUGGCUGGAGUGUGGCAGAGGAAGGUGGAAUUCCAGGCGUAGCGGUGAAAUGCGUAGAGAUCUGGAGGAACACCGAUGGCGAAGGCGGCCCUCUGGGCCAACACUGACGCUGAGGCACGAAAGCGUGGGGAGCAAACAGG
This 253-nucleotide ribosomal RNA is filed under the name uncultured bacterium. RNAcentral describes it as "partial 16S ribosomal RNA". It matches the Rfam family "Bacterial small subunit ribosomal RNA", at positions 524 to 776 of the family's 1533-position model. The record is from RNAcentral.